GAUGAUUGGGGUGAAGUCGUAACAAGGUAGCCGUAUCGGAAGGUGCGGCUGGAUCACCUCCUUUCUAAGGAA
RNAcentral lists this ribosomal RNA (72 nucleotides) under Enterococcus faecium. Its description in RNAcentral is "partial 16S ribosomal RNA". The stretch from base 1 to 64 matches the Rfam family "Bacterial small subunit ribosomal RNA", at positions 1470 to 1533 of the family's 1533-position model. Lineage: Bacteria; Bacillati; Bacillota; Bacilli; Lactobacillales; Enterococcaceae. The record is from RNAcentral. RNAcentral also lists the same sequence under 2 other names.